CUAAGGAGGGAACUGUAAGUCUUGACACUCAAAGUUGUCUCUUAUUAGUGCAGAUGUUGCUCCUGGUAUUCAUUAUAUUUUCUCUUCUAAGAGAGAAUGCUGCUGCAGAUGCGCCAACACCAUUCUUCACAGAGAAGCAUGUUUUGGAAGGAAAAUAUGUUACACUGAUCUGCAACUACACUGGCAAUGUUCAGAAUUUGCAGUGGUACCGUCAGUAUCCCGGAUCCAAACCUGAGAACAUAAUUUUAUACUUUGAAAACAGCCCCAAAUCCGAGCCCUCUCUCCGUCUGACCGCUGUAGCUGAUAGAGUCAUCAAACAUAUGAAUCUGACAAUCUCUUCUACAGAAGUCAAAGACUCUGCCAUGUACUAUUGUGCCCUGCAGCCCACAGUGACAGGAAACACAACUCCACCCUACAAAAACUGAGUGAUAAAUCAUAUUUAAGCCAGAAGACCAUUAAGCCCAUCAUGAUGCACAAUGUGGAUUUAAAAACAUCAGCACUGUACAACUAUCAAAUGUUUCAAGCAUCAAUGGGCUUUUCAUAUCUAUAUUAAUGGUUAAUAUUUCAGGG
Pimephales promelas (fathead minnow) is the source of this 570-nucleotide non-coding RNA. The record is from the annotation of a RefSeq genome assembly. NCBI's taxonomy places the organism in Eukaryota, Metazoa, Chordata, Actinopteri, Cypriniformes, Leuciscidae.